Onychomys torridus (southern grasshopper mouse) is the source of this 628-nucleotide long non-coding RNA. RefSeq lists it as uncharacterized. The record is from RefSeq and is a predicted model, not a curated record. Lineage: Eukaryota; Metazoa; Chordata; Mammalia; Rodentia; Cricetidae. The transcript is spliced from 3 exons.
GCACGGGCGGGAAAGCCGAGCGGCCGUGGGUGCGGAGAGAGCGGAGCUCAGUGCCAAAGCCUGGGUGUGCAAAGAAAGACACUGGCUUCAGCCGAACUCCCAGAAGGCAGAUGCUAGGAUCUGCAGCCCGAGCGGAAAACACAAGCGUGGUCGGGGAGGUUUUGCUCCGUGCACCUGUGGUGUAUAGAGUGCGCUCGCAGAAGAGCAGAAAAACAUCCCUUUGAAAACGGUUGUUGACCUCACCUUUCCAACGGUGGCUAGCUAAAUGCAAUGGAAGAUUUUAAAACAUCAUUAACUAAACACCACAGGCACCUUUUCUCAUACCUACUGUUGUAACAUGGUAUGUCCGUCCAUCUUGCAAGUACUUCUGUGACCUUUACCAUACCUCCAACAGAAAACACAUAAUUCCCAGCUUUCAAAGGAAUGCCGUGGAGGGUCAGGAAAGGACUGGUCCAAAGCCGCCCAGCUGCUGAGCAGUGCAGCUGGAAUGGGAGCCUCAGGCCUCACAUACUUCCAGCAAGCCCUGUUCUGCCUCUGUCAGCUGCUUCUCUGCAGAGUACUAUGGGAAUGCAGGUGUCACAGAAUCCUGGAUCAGCUGGCUGCUGGCUGGGUAUGGCCAAGAAAGGAG